UCUUUCCAAAAGAAUAAAGAUUCGAACAUUUCGCCUCUAUACAAUUUUAACAAGAAGGUAUUGGAUCUGGAUCUAACGAUCCAAAGCGUCCAUCUAUGACCAACUCGUAAUUUAUGUUUUAGAGGUAUCACAACUUUAGUUGGGAUUAGUCACUACCUUGCAACCUUUUGGGUUUUAAGCAUCAUUAUUUUCUAAACAGUUAACACCACCAUAUUAUCUCUACUAUAGAGAUAAUUAAUUAGAUUACCAUAAUCCAAUCAUUGAUUAAUAAAGAACAUUGUUUUGUCAAACAAAACAUAUAUCCAUUUCACAUAGUGACGGAAUUUAGUUCCUUAAAAUUGGAAUAUAAAGACAAUCUAUAUUUUUCCAAUUUCUUUGGUAGUUCAUAUGAGGAAGUAAGUACCAUCUGCUUUCGCAGAGAUCUACAUUUGAUUCACGCUUCGAAUGUGAAGUACUUUCUCUUCUCUCAUUAAUCUUCUACUUCUUAUUAGUCACACUUUUACAACGAUUGUAAAACAUAGUCACUAAUACGGAAUCAUGCAUUCAAUUAGAAGAACCAACUGUUUUGAACUAUUCAAGAACAAUUUACAACACCUUCGAAAGGU
This 605-nucleotide long non-coding RNA is filed under the name Malus domestica (apple). RNAcentral describes it as "long non-coding RNA (MDOM_LNC008932)". The record is from RNAcentral. Lineage: Eukaryota; Viridiplantae; Streptophyta; Magnoliopsida; Rosales; Rosaceae.